This 29-nucleotide non-coding RNA is filed under the name Mus musculus (house mouse). Lineage: Eukaryota; Metazoa; Chordata; Mammalia; Rodentia; Muridae. The record is from RNAcentral.
GCAAGCCAUAUCGGAAGCACAGAAGGUGU